UUUCAAUGAUGACUUGCUUUUGGUCCGUGUUUCUGAUUUGCCACUGAUUGUAUUCUCAAAAGCUCUGAGAUG
Cephus cinctus (wheat stem sawfly) is the source of this 72-nucleotide small nucleolar RNA. RefSeq annotates it as small nucleolar RNA SNORD18. NCBI's taxonomy places the organism in Eukaryota, Metazoa, Arthropoda, Insecta, Hymenoptera, Cephidae. The transcript has a single exon. The record is from RefSeq and is a predicted model, not a curated record.